RNAcentral lists this ribosomal RNA (64 nucleotides) under Placopsis contortuplicata. RNAcentral describes it as "partial 28S ribosomal RNA". It matches the Rfam family "Eukaryotic large subunit ribosomal RNA", at positions 52 to 115 of the family's 3401-position model. RNAcentral also lists the same sequence under 1 other name. The record is from RNAcentral. Lineage: Eukaryota; Fungi; Ascomycota; Lecanoromycetes; Trapeliales; Trapeliaceae.
GGAGGAAAAGAAACCAACAGGGAUUGCCUCAGUAACGGCGAGUGAAGCGGCAACAGCUCAAAUA